Molecule: non-coding RNA, 74 nt
Organism: Rhinolophus ferrumequinum (greater horseshoe bat)
Lineage: Eukaryota; Metazoa; Chordata; Mammalia; Chiroptera; Rhinolophidae
Source: the annotation of a RefSeq genome assembly
GGCCUGGUGGCUCAGGUGGUUAGAGCACCGUGCUCCUAACGCUGAGGUCGCCGGUUCGAUUCCCACAUGGGCCA